This 1023-nucleotide ribosomal RNA is filed under the name Penicillium aurantiogriseum. RNAcentral's name for it is "SSU rRNA". It matches the Rfam family "Eukaryotic small subunit ribosomal RNA", at positions 74 to 1106 of the family's 1831-position model. The record is from RNAcentral. Lineage: Eukaryota; Fungi; Ascomycota; Eurotiomycetes; Eurotiales; Aspergillaceae. RNAcentral also lists the same sequence under 1 other name.
UUGUACUGUGAAACUGCGAAUGGCUCAUUAAAUCAGUUAUCGUUUAUUUGAUAGUACCUUACUACAUGGAUACCUGUGGUAAUUCUAGAGCUAAUACAUGCUAAAAACCCCGACUUCAGGAAGGGGUGUAUUUAUUAGAUAAAAAACCAACGCCCUUCGGGGCUCCUUGGUGAAUCAUAAUAACUUAACGAAUCGCAUGGCCUUGCGCCGGCGAUGGUUCAUUCAAAUUUCUGCCCUAUCAACUUUCGAUGGUAGGAUAGUGGCCUACCAUGGUGGCAACGGGUAACGGGGAAUUAGGGUUCGAUUCCGGAGAGGGAGCCUGAGAAACGGCUACCACAUCCAAGGAAGGCAGCAGGCGCGCAAAUUACCCAAUCCCGAUACGGGGAGGUAGUGACAAUAAAUACUGAUACGGGGCUCUUUUGGGUCUCGUAAUUGGAAUGAGAACAAUUUAAAUCCCUUAACGAGGAACAAUUGGAGGGCAAGUCUGGUGCCAGCAGCCGCGGUAAUUCCAGCUCCAAUAGCGUAUAUUAAAGUUGUUGCAGUUAAAAAGCUCGUAGUUGAACCUUGGGCCUGGCUGGCCGGUCCGCCUCACCGCGAGUACUGGUCCGGCUGGGCCUUUCCUUCUGGGGAACCUCAUGGCCUUCACUGGCUGUGGGGGGAACCAGGACUUUUACUGUGAAAAAAUUAGAGUGUUCAAAGCAGGCCUUUGCUCGAAUACAUUAGCAUGGAAUAAUAGAAUAGGACGUGUGGUUCUAUUUUGUUGGUUUCUAGGACCGCCGUAAUGAUUAAUAGGGAUAGUCGGGGGCGUCAGUAUUCAGCUGUCAGAGGUGAAAUUCUUGGAUUUGCUGAAGACUAACUACUGCGAAAGCAUUCGCCAAGGAUGUUUUCAUUAAUCAGGGAACGAAAGUUAGGGGAUCGAAGACGAUCAGAUACCGUCGUAGUCUUAACCAUAAACUAUGCCGACUAGGGAUCGGACGGGAUUCUAUAAUGACCCGUUCGGCACCUUACGAGAAAUCAAAGUUU